UUAUGCAAUUAGUUAAAGGAGCGUUUCAUUUGACUGUUCGCUUAUUUCUUAAAAUCGACGACGAGACUAAUGAAACGUCAUCAUCCGCGUGUAAACGGAAGUUCGGUUUGGAGUUUUCUUUGCUAACAGCACGAUGAUAACUGACGUCCAACUAGCCAUUUUUGCUAAUUUAUUGGGAGUUUUAUUGUUCAUGUUGGUGGUAGUCUAUCACCACGUUUCUGUCAACAAUGCAAGAAAAGUGACACUGUAAUAAUAAUAAUA
Molecule: long non-coding RNA, 261 nt
Organism: Centruroides sculpturatus (bark scorpion)
Lineage: Eukaryota; Metazoa; Arthropoda; Arachnida; Scorpiones; Buthidae
Exons: 3
Source: RefSeq, a predicted model, not a curated record